This 447-nucleotide ribosomal RNA is filed under the name uncultured bacterium. Its description in RNAcentral is "bacterial SSU rRNA". It matches the Rfam family "Bacterial small subunit ribosomal RNA", at positions 329 to 793 of the family's 1533-position model. The record is from RNAcentral.
UGCCAGACUCCUACGGGAGGCAGCAGUGGGGGAUAUUGCACAAUGGGGGGAACCCUGAUGCAGCGACGCCGCGUGAGUGAAGAAGUAUUUCGGUAUGUAAAGCUCUAUCAGCAGGGAAGAAAAUGACGGUACCUGACUAAGAAGCCCCGGCUAACUACGUGCCAGCAGCCGCGGUAAUACGUAGGGGGCAAGCGUUAUCCGGAUUUACUGGGUGUAAAGGGAGCGUAGACGGUAUGGCAAGUCUGAAGUGAAAGCCCAGGGCUUAACCCUGGGACUGCUUUGGAAACUGUUAGACUAGAGUGCUGGAGAGGUAAGUGGAAUUCCUAGUGUAGCGGUGAAAUGCGUAGAUAUUAGGAGGAACACCAGUGGCGAAGGCGGCUUACUGGACAGUAACUGACGUUGAGGCUCGAAAGCGUGGGGAGCAAACAGGAUUAGAUACCCUUGUAC